RNAcentral lists this ribosomal RNA (490 nucleotides) under uncultured bacterium. RNAcentral's name for it is "partial 16S ribosomal RNA". It matches the Rfam family "Bacterial small subunit ribosomal RNA", at positions 30 to 507 of the family's 1533-position model. The record is from RNAcentral.
AUUGAACGCUGGCGGCAGGCCUAACACAUGCAAGUCGAACGGUAACAGGAAGCAGCUUGCUGCUUUGCUGACGAGUGGCGGACGGGUGAGUAAUGUCUGGGAAACUGCCUGAUGGAGGGGGAUAACUACUGGAAACGGUAGCUAAUACCGCAUAACGUCGCAAGACCAAAGAGGGGGACCUUAGGGCCUCUUGCCAUCGGAUGUGCCCAGAUGGGAUUAGCUAGUAGGUGGGGUAACGGCUCACCUAGGCGACGAUCCCUAGCUGGUCUGAGCGGAUGACCAGCCACACUGGAACUGAGACACGGUCCAGACUCCUACGGGAGGCAGCAGUGGGGAAUAUUGCACAAUGGGCGCAAGCCUGAUGCAGCCAUGCCGCGUGUAUGAAGAAGGCCUUCGGGUUGUAAAGUACUUUCAGCGGGGAGGAAGGGAGUAAAGUUAAUACCUUUGCUCAUUGACGUUACCCGCAGAAGAAGCACCGGCUAACUCCGUG